GAUGAACGCUAGCGACAGGCCUAACACAUGCAAGUCGAGGGGCAGCAUAAAGGUAGCAAUACUUUGGUGGCGACCGGCGCACGGGUGAGUAACACGUAUGCAAUCUACCUAUUACACGGGGAUAAUCCGGCGAAAGUCGGUCUAAUACCCGAUGGUAUUAUUAAUCCGCAUGGAUAUAUAAUUAAAGAUUUAUUGGUAAUAGAUGAGCAUGCACAACAUUAGCUUGUUGGUAAGGUAACGGCUUACCAAGGCAACGAUGUUUAGGGGUUCUGAGAGGAAGGUCCCCCACACUGGUACUGAGACACGGACCAGACUCCUACGGGAGGCAGCAGUGAGGAAUAUUGGUCAAUGGUCGAGAGACUGAACCAGCCAAGUCGCGUGAAGGAAGAAGGUAUUAUGUAUUGUAAACUUCUUUUGUAAGGGAAUAAAGUGGGUUACGUGUAAUCUAUUGUAUGUACUUUACGAAUAAGGAUCGGCUAACUCCGUGCCAGCAGCCGCGGUAAUACGGAGGAUCCGAGCGUUAUCCGGAUUUAUUGGGUUUAAAGGGUGCGUAGGCGGGAAGAUAAGUCAGUGGUGAAAGUUUGCGGCUCAACCGUAAAAUUGGCCAUUGAAACUGUCUUUCUUGAGUGCAAAUGAGGUAGGCGGAAUGUGUUGUGUAGCGGUGAAAUGCUUAGAUAUGACACAGAACCCCGAUUGCGAAGGCAGCUUACUGGGAUGCAACUGACGCUGAGGCACGAAAGUGUGGGUAUCGAACAGGAUUAGAUACCCUGGUAGUCCACACAGUAAACGAUGAUUACUAAUUGUUUGCGAUAUACGGCAAGUGAUACAGCGAAAGCGUUAAGUAAUCCACCUGGGGAGUACGACCGCAAGGUUGAAACUCAAAGGAAUUGACGGGGGCCCGCACAAGCGGAGGAACAUGUGGUUUAAUUCGAUGAUACGCGAGGAACCUUACCCGGGCUUGAAAUGUAGAGGAAUAUAGUGGAAACAUUAUAGCCAGCAAUGGUCUCUAUGUAGGUGCUGCAUGGUUGUCGUCAGCUCGUGCCGUGAGGUGUCGGCUUAAGUGCCAUAACGAGCGCAACCCUUAUCAUUAGUUACUAGCAGGUUAAGCUGAGGACUCUAAUGAGACUGCCACCGUAAGGUGCGAGGAAGGUGGGGAUGACGUCAAAUCAGCACGGCCCUUACGUCCGGGGCGACACACGUGUUACAAUGGGGGGUACAGAGGGUUGCUACCUAGCGAUAGGAUGCUAAUCUCAUAAAACCUCUCUCAGUUCGGAUCGGAGUCUGCAACUCGACUCCGUGAAGCUGGAUUCGCUAGUAAUCGCGCAUCAGCCAUGGCGCGGUGAAUACGUUCCCGGGCCUUGUACACACCGCCCGUCAAACCAUGGGAGUUUGGGGUACCUGAAGUCUGUCGCCGUAAGGAGCGGCCUAGGGUAAAUCAGAUGACUGGGGUU
This 1451-nucleotide ribosomal RNA is filed under the name uncultured Bacteroidota bacterium. RNAcentral's name for it is "bacterial SSU rRNA". It matches the Rfam family "Bacterial small subunit ribosomal RNA". The record is from RNAcentral. Lineage: Bacteria; Pseudomonadati; Bacteroidota.